RNAcentral lists this non-coding RNA (29 nucleotides) under Mus musculus (house mouse). Lineage: Eukaryota; Metazoa; Chordata; Mammalia; Rodentia; Muridae. The record is from RNAcentral.
UUGCAAAUAAUGUGGCAGUGGCUGUCAGC